CCCCUCUCAGGAUCACACCUGGGGAGUCUCCAGUACUCUACCAGUCUUGGCUACAAGAAGGAGAGUCAGGCAGAGGCAUACUCAUUCCAUUCCUAGUUUGGGCAGUGGCCAGCGAGUGGAAAGCAAUCUGCUACAGGU
Molecule: small nucleolar RNA, 138 nt
Organism: Tachyglossus aculeatus (Australian echidna)
Lineage: Eukaryota; Metazoa; Chordata; Mammalia; Monotremata; Tachyglossidae
Source: RefSeq, a predicted model, not a curated record